Molecule: transfer RNA, 64 nt
Filed under: Brachionus rotundiformis
Lineage: Eukaryota; Metazoa; Rotifera; Eurotatoria; Ploima; Brachionidae
Description: tRNA-Lys
Source: RNAcentral
AAGUUAGUAAGAUAAAUUUAAUCUGUUAGUCUUUUAAACUUACAAUGCCUCUAGGCCUAACUUA